RNAcentral lists this ribosomal RNA (490 nucleotides) under uncultured bacterium. RNAcentral describes it as "partial 16S ribosomal RNA". It matches the Rfam family "Bacterial small subunit ribosomal RNA", at positions 30 to 507 of the family's 1533-position model. The record is from RNAcentral.
AUUGAACGCUGGCGGGAGGCCUAACACAUGCAAGUCGACCGGUAGCAGGAAGCAGCUUGCUGCUUCCGUGUCGCGUGGCGGACAGGUGUGUGAUGUCUAGCUGACUGCCUGUUGGCGGGGGCUACCUACUGGAAACGGUAGCUCAUACCGCGUAACGUCGCUACACCAAAGAGGGUGAACUUAUGCCCCCUUGCCCGCUGGUGUGCCCAGGUGGGAUUAGCUUGGUGGUGGGGUGACGGCUCACCUAGUCGACGAUCACCAGCUGGUCUCAGGGGAGGACCAGCCACACUGGAACUGAGACACGGUCCAGACUCCUACGGGAGGGAGCAGUGGGGAAUAUUGGACAAUGGGCGCAAGCCUGAUGCAGCCAUGCCGCGUGUAUGAAGAAGGCCUUCGGGUUGUAAAGUACUUUCGGCGGGUAGGAAGCGAGUAAGGUUAAGACCUUGGCUCAUUGACGUUACCCGCAGAAGAAGCACCGGCUAACUCCGUG